Molecule: non-coding RNA, 1480 nt
Organism: Poecilia reticulata (guppy)
Lineage: Eukaryota; Metazoa; Chordata; Actinopteri; Cyprinodontiformes; Poeciliidae
Source: RefSeq, a predicted model, not a curated record
UAGAGGGGCGCCAGGAUGCUUCGCUCAUCCAAAGAAGGAUUGCCGAAGCUGCCGAGAAAACACAACAGAGACGAACAAGAGAAGUCGAAGGUGAAACACACUCAGCCCCCUUCAUUCGACCCGCCAACAUCAGGAUCAAUCAUCCAAAGAAGCAGAAGUCAUCAAACCGUGUCGUAAGGCCCCACACUAUUUACAUUAUUUUGCAUGGGCAACCACAAUUAAGACAAAAAAAUAAUAAAAAACAAUUUAAAUAAUAAUCAUAAUUGCUGAAGAAAUUAAAUAACUAUACAAAAAAAAAUCUAAAUAAGAGUAAAAACUCUGCUUUGAGCCUGUCUGGGCUACUUGAAUUCCAGAUGGAGAAUAAUAAUUUAUCCCUAGAGCUUGUUAGUGAAUGUCUGAUAUUUUUGUAUAAACUGCAUCAGAUCUCCUAGCUUUAGACCUUUCAUAGGGUCUUUGGAAUUAUAUUUGUAAUAAAUAUCCUUCUGUGUGCAAGCAAAGAAGUGAAAGCAAUGAUGUGUGUACAACUUUUCCUAAUUAUGAGGUAGUUCCCUUCACUGACACCAAAUAUAGUCAUUGCAGCUUUGGGUUGUGGAUUAGUAUUUAACCACCGUGACAAACAGGAAGAACUAUUCGAGGAAUAGAUCUUCCUCAAAACUAAAGAAGUAGAAACUACCAGUUGAUUAACUACAGAUAUUGUCACAUUCUUACUUUAGUUGAAGACAUUAAUUGCCAUUCCUUUUACUCCCCUCUCCCCCAUUUUUCAUCGUUGCAUCUGCAAGCUGCAUCUGCGCCUCUGUUUUCGUCUCAUGCUCCGCUUCUUUUCCAUAAUCUCCUCCUUCUCAGCUGUUCUCUCGUAACAACACACGCAGCAAUAACUUUGUUGAAAUAAAAUUCUUCGACAGGCUUAAAUCUCUGACUUCAGAGUUUGUUUGUUUUUCUCAACUUCUCAGUUUGUGUCGCACCAAAUGCUGCUCCAAAACCGCUAGCAGCAGAAGCACGAUCGUUUUCUGUGUCGAGUUGUUUUUUUUGUUUGUUUUUUUUUUUUUUGCACAAACAUGCAACAUUGUACGGGUUGAUAACGGCAAAAACGAACAUCCUCCCAACUGGCAAUAAAUUUGCAGUCGACUCAAACUGUUGCCUGAUGGAAACUCCUAUGAGGAAAAAAAAAAAACCUACAUAAAAUAUACAAAAUUAAAUAGUCCUGCCACUACAAUAUUUAAGACACAUGGGGAAUGUUUUUAAUACCAUCUUACAUGUUUUUAAGUGGAUUUAAGACUUUUAAAGGCCUUGAUUUCAAGAUUAAGGCUUUUUAAGGAGGUAUGAGUUAUUUAAGGUGCUGAGGUUUAUUAGAGAAUAAUCCUCAUCAUACAUCCAAUGUAGAACCAACAUUCCCUCAUUCCACCACAACAGCAAAAAGGAAGUGAUUCAAUGUUCAGAUAAAGAUCUGCUGCUGCUUGGUCUAGAAGUAAAAAAAAAAAAA